ACGACUCGUGACACCGAUGAUCUCUCUCUCUCUCUCUCUCUCGCUCUGGCUCUGUGUGGACUGUACAGAGUGACUGAUUUCCUUCCUUCCCACCACCCAACUUACGCUCAGCAUCUCCCCCACUUCCCUCGCAUCCUUUGAAGUCUCUCUCUCUCUCUCUCUCUCUCCCCACUUCGGUUCUCACAACCUCUGCACUUCUCUCUCCAACCGCCUCCCGCCCUCUCUCAAUUCUUCCUCCGCCGGUUUUCCAUCAAACAGCGGAAAUUUGAAGUGACCCAAUUGCGGGGCGUUCGGAAAUGGACCUGAUUCUCCUGGAGGAAAAGGAUGCUGCCGAUUGGGUUUACAGAGGCGAAGGAGCUGCGAACAUCGUCCUCGCUUACGCUGGAUCCGCUCCACAUCUCGUUGGAAAAGUUUUGCGGAUACACAAGGCUCCCGAAAAUGGAACACAUUGCUCCAAUGGUUCCUUGAGCUUUUCCAAGCACGAACGUCUCUUGUGGAAAGAUUUUGAAGAACUUGUACAGUCCCCGACUAAAGAAAUUGCAGCCCAGCAAUAUGCACAACAUGUGAUUAGCCCGUUGUUAGGUUCAAAACAUGUAGAUGCCGGGAUUCAAGUCCUUGUAUCUAGGGAAUUUCUUGAGGAAAUUGAGAGAAAUAUUAAGAGUCAUCGUCCUGAUUGGCGAAUCGAUGCUGCCAAGGUUGAUACACUUAACGAAUCUGCACUUCUAAUUUCUGACCAUUCCCUUUUCCCUCAUGGUAUCUUCAAAGGCAAUGCCUGCAUAUCUGUAGAGAUAAAGCCCAAAUGUGGAUUUCUACCAUUCUCCAAACACAUUGCCAGGCAGAAUGCAAUUAAGAGGAGCACUACUCGUUUUAAAAUGCACCAAGUCCUGAAGUUCCGUCAACAAAAGAUACCAAAUCUAAGUGAAUAUGAUCCGUUGGAUCUGUUCUCUGGAUCCAAGGAAAGAAUACAUGAAGCUUUAAAAGCUUUGUGCAACAACCCGCAGAACAAUUUCCGCGUGUUCUUGAAUGGUUCUCUCAUUUUGGGUGGGUUUGGUGGUGUUGCAGACAAUUCUACCACAACUGCUGAAGCACUUGAAGAUGUAUUUAAAUAUGUCAUCGAGGCAGAUGAUGGUUUACGAAUGACAAGUUUUCUUGAGCUUCUCACCGAGACAGUUUAUAAAUCUGGAGUAUUGGACCGUCUUCUUGAUGUUCAGAAGCUCGAUAAUUAUGAUGUAGAAGGAGCAAUUCAUGCAUACUAUAAUUUUAUAUCUCAACCUUGUUCAGUAUGUAGACAGCUGGGUGAAGACAAAGUCUCGCCCAUAUCUACCUUUUUGCAUGCGCUUCCUCCCAACGAGAGCUUGGAGAUUGUGAAAAAAUUUUUGAUAGCUGCAACUGCAAAAGAUUGCAGUUUAAUGUUUUGUUUCAGACGAAGGGAAGAUGGUGGUUCAGAUUCUCCAUAUGACCGGGUUUACCUAGAGUCAACUAACCAAGUGUUUGAUUAUAAGGUGCAUUUCAUUGACCUGGAUUUGAAGCCUUUGGAGAAGAUGGAGUACUACUAUGAACUAGAUCAGAAGAUUGUGAGCGCCUACACUGAGGCCCUGCAAAAUGGACCGGGAACAGAGAACAAUCAUACCGUCAAAUUGUAUGAAAGUAUACAAUGAUGGAGGACAUACUGUAUAGCCUAGGGAUUACAGUUGUUGAUGAUUCUGUGUUUUGCUCUACAAGGUUUGAAAGACCUUUAUGUCUUUCAAGGAACCAGAGCUAUGAGAGUCCAUACGCUUCCAGAAGCAGCUGCUGCUAUAUGCUUAACCAGAUAUUCUUUAUGUGAAGGCCGGUCCUGGUACAGAUGUGUAUUAGUUCUUGCAUCAUCUAGAUACAUAUACGCAUCUAUCUGCACAUAUUAAUUCGAUAUUCUUUCCUUCUUAUGCGGAGGCUCAUGCAGCUUUGACAAGUUAGGUGAACAACUGAGUGUCCAAAAGGAAAUAAAUAAUAAAAGAAAGAUGAUAUGGACGGGACAGAGUUUUUGGCCAUGGCCGCAGAGCCCAAUAGAAAGUGAUGGAUUAACUACUUAAAGGGUCAUACCAUCCCAUACCACAUGGCUUAUUAAUUCAUCCAGCUGGAUCUUGAUUUUUUGCAUUUUUCUUUUCUUCUUGUUCUUUAGCUGUAUGCUAAAUGUGCUGGAUGAAGUGUUGCCCUGUCCAUCCCUCAGUACACUAAUAACUGCAAGUUUUUGGUGUUUCUGGCGCAAUAUAUGUGACAUAACCUUUUAAGAUUAAUUUCUAUAUCGGAUGAAAUUUAGCAA
This is an RNA transcript of Syzygium oleosum, 2299 nucleotides long. It is a transcript of the gene named inositol-pentakisphosphate 2-kinase-like, with no coding region annotated. The transcript has 9 exons. Lineage: Eukaryota; Viridiplantae; Streptophyta; Magnoliopsida; Myrtales; Myrtaceae. The record is from RefSeq and is a predicted model, not a curated record.